Molecule: ribosomal RNA, 497 nt
Filed under: uncultured bacterium
Lineage: Bacteria
Description: partial 16S ribosomal RNA
Rfam family: Bacterial small subunit ribosomal RNA
Source: RNAcentral
GACGAACGCUGGCGGCGUGCCUAAUACAUGCAAGUUGAGCGCUGAAGGUUGGUACUUGUACCAACUGGGUGAGCAGCGAACGGGUGAGUAACGCGUGGGGAAUCUGCCUUUGAGCGGGGGACAACAUUUGGAAACGAAUGCUAAUACCGCAUAAAAACUUUAAACACAAGUUUUAAGUUUGAAAGAUGCAAUUGCAUCACUCAAAGAUGAUCCCGCGUUGUAUUAGCUAGUUGGUGAGGUAAAGGCUCACCAAGGCGAUGCUACAUAGCCGACCUGAGAGGGUGAGCGGCCACAUUGGGACGGAGACACGGCCCAAACUGCUACGGGAGGGAGCAGGAGGGAAUCGUCGGCAAGGGACGAAAGUCUGACCGAGAAACGCCGAGGGAGGGAAGAAGGUUGUCGGAUCGGAAAACUCGGUUGGUAGAGAAGAACGUUGGUGAGAGUGGAAAGCUCAUCAAGUGACGGUAACUACUCAGAAAGGGACGGCUAACUACGUG